UAAGCAUAUCAAUAAGCGGAGGAAAAGAAACCAACAGGGAUUGCCCUAGUAACGGCGAGUGAAGCGGCAACAGCUCAAAUUUGAAAUCUGGCGUCUUUGGCGUCCGAGUUGUAAUUUGCAGAGGGCGCUUUGGCAUCGGCAGCGGUCCAAGUUCCUUGGAACAGGACGUCACAGAGGGUGAGAAUCCCGUACGUGAUCGCUAGCCUUUACCGUGUAAAGCCCCUUCGACGAGUCGAGUUGUUUGGGAAUGCAGCUCUAAAUGGGAGGUAAAUUUCUUCUAAAGCUAAAUACUGGCCAGAGACCGAUAGCGCACAAGUAGAGUGAUCGAAAGAUGAAAAGCACUUUGGAAAGAGAGUUAAAAAGCACGUGAAAUUGUUGAAAGGGAAGCGCUUGCAGCCAGACUUGCCUGUAGUUGCUCAUCCGGGUUUCUACCCGGUGCACUCUUCUAUAGGCAGGCCAGCAUCAGUUUGGGCGGUUGGAUAAAGGUCUCUGUCAUGUACCUCUCUUCGGGGAGAACUUAUAGGGGAGACGACAUGCAACCAGCCCGGACUGAGGUCCGCGCAUCUGCUAGGAUGCUGGCGUAAUGGCUGUAAGCGGCCCGUCUUGAAACACGGACCAAGGAGUCUAACAUCUAUGCGAGUGUUUGGGUGUCAAGCCCGAACGCGUAAUGAAAGUGAACGGAGGUGGGAACCUUUCGGGGUGCACCAUCGACCGAUCCUGAUGUCUUCGGAUGGAUUUGAGUAAGAGCAUAGCUGUUGGGACCCGAAAGAUGGUGAACUAUGCUUGAAUAGGGUGAAGCCAGAGGAAACUCUGGUGGAGGCUCGCAGCGGUUCUGACGUGCAAAUCGAUCGUCAAAUUUGGGCAUAGGGGCGAAAGACUAAUCGAACUAUCUAGUAGCUGGUUCCUGCCGAA
Molecule: ribosomal RNA, 912 nt
Filed under: Neodidymelliopsis sp. YW-2018a
Lineage: Eukaryota; Fungi; Ascomycota; Dothideomycetes; Pleosporales; Didymellaceae
Description: LSU rRNA
Rfam family: Eukaryotic large subunit ribosomal RNA
Source: RNAcentral